UGAGGACGGAUCUGUCUCUUACAACUAAUCAGUGAAACUGAUCUUUCAGUACAAAAGCUGUAAUGACAACAUAAGACGAGAAGACCCUGUGGAGCUUUAAACCUACUAUAAACAAAACUAUAAACUGUUUUCAAACUAAUAAAAAGUUUUGAGUUGGGGCGACUUCGGAAUAAAACAAAACUUCCGAGCACAGAACCACUAAUUCUUACCAAGGCCAACAAGCCAAAGUGUAAAAGAACAGACCCAGUGACACUGAUCAACGAACCAAGUUACCCCAGGGAUAACAGCGCUAUCUUCUUCAAGAGUUCAUAUCGACCAGAAGGGUUACG
This 329-nucleotide ribosomal RNA is filed under the name Ophiomorus punctatissimus. Its description in RNAcentral is "partial 16S ribosomal RNA". It matches the Rfam family "Bacterial large subunit ribosomal RNA", at positions 2005 to 2522 of the family's 2925-position model. Lineage: Eukaryota; Metazoa; Chordata; Lepidosauria; Squamata; Scincidae. The record is from RNAcentral.